UUCUCAGAGUUAUUUUUCACUUUCCUGAGCUCUUUCCCUUUCUCUCUCUAAAACCCUUGCCCUAAAGGUUUUCUCUGACUUCUCUCUACAUUCACAGCUCCUUGAACCAUAGGAAUUCGAUUUUGGUGCUACCCAAGCGUCCGCGGAGUAGAGGGCUUCAUUUCUACCAAACGUCCUCUUCAUUCCGAUCGGGGCAGGUUGAGUUCUUGUGUUGUCGAGGGUACUGCUAGGGCAGUUUCAGUAGUUGUGCUUGGAGAAACCCAGAUGGCGAAGAGGUUCUUUUGGAGACGACCUUGGAAGUUGAGGAUAAUGCUGCUACCUAGUCUCCUUAGAAUGUUAUCGAUUAUUGUCUGUAGUUUGAAAUAUUGUUUCCCUUUAAGUUUAUAAUUUAGAUCUUUUUGGAGUUGAA
This is a long non-coding RNA of Vigna angularis (adzuki bean), 409 nucleotides long. RefSeq lists it as uncharacterized. Lineage: Eukaryota; Viridiplantae; Streptophyta; Magnoliopsida; Fabales; Fabaceae. The transcript is spliced from 3 exons. The record is from RefSeq and is a predicted model, not a curated record.